Molecule: long non-coding RNA, 635 nt
Organism: Calliphora vicina (urban bluebottle blowfly)
Lineage: Eukaryota; Metazoa; Arthropoda; Insecta; Diptera; Calliphoridae
Exons: 4
Source: RefSeq, a predicted model, not a curated record
CCUACCCACGCCAAAAUAUUAUCCUCGUCUGGCAACCUAAUUAACAAAAUGCAUUUGGCUUGGACGGACGGUCGGCCAUUAUAAUAAAAUAAAAAAAUUAAAAUGAUAAAACAACUGCUGAUGUAUGAAGUAGCUAGUUAUUGGACAUAUUGUCUCUUUGGUGCCCCAUUGAAAGUAAAAAAAAUCUUUCCCCGGCCAUAGAUGCAGAGGCCCUAGAUACAGAUUUUAAUGCCUUGAGAUAGAUGGUGUGGAGUUCAAGCGGUAAGUGGAACUUUCUUAAGUUAUCCGAUUUUAUUAUUAUUAUUGUUAAAAUAUUAUUUAGCUAAGUAAGAUUUAGAACAUUUUUGAAAAAGUAUUUUAAAUCAUUUACAAACUAUUUUAAUUGUCUAUCUGUUUCAUUGGUGGACAUCUAUCAGUAAUAUCUGAGUCGAUUAUAAUGGGCCAACUUAGUUUUUCUAUUGACUAGCUAGUUGUUUAACUCGGCAUAUUUGCUUAAACUUGCUGUAAGACCGGACUCAGAACAUGUCAUUGUCCAAAGUGUCUAACGACUCCCAGCUCUUAAUGGCAUAGUUCCCCAGGGUGUUAAAGGAGUUGCACUAUUGGGCCAAUGAAGGUUACAACAUGUAACUAGUUUA